UCUCCGUUGGUGAACCAGCGGAGGGAUCAUUGCCGAGUUUACAACUCCCAAACCCCUAUGUGAACGUUACCAAACUGUUGCCUCGGCGGGAAAUUCAUGCCCCGGGCGCGUCGCAGCCCCGGACCAAGGCGCCCGCCGGAGGACCAACCAAAACUCUUUUGUAUGUCCCUCGCGGACUUUUAUAAUUCUGAACCAUCUCGGCGCCCCUAGCGGGCGUUUCGAAAAUGAAUCAAAACUUUCAACAACGGAUCUCUUGGUUCUG
This 262-nucleotide unclassified non-coding RNA is filed under the name plant metagenome. RNAcentral's name for it is "partial contains small subunit ribosomal RNA, internal transcribed spacer 1, and 5.8S ribosomal RNA". The record is from RNAcentral.